GAUGAACGCUGGCGGCGUGCCUAAUACAUGCAAGUCGAACGCUUCACAUAUGUGAAGAGUGGCGAACGGGUGAGUAAUACAUAAGUAACCUGGCCUUUACAGGGGGAUAACUGUUGGAAACGAUAGCUAAGACCGCAUAGGUGUCAUAACCGCAUGGAGAUGAUAUGAAAUAUGCUACGGCAUAGGUAGAGGAUGGACUUAUGGCGCAUUAGCUAGUUGGAGGGGUAACGGCCCACCAAGGCGACGAUGCGUAGCCGACCUGAGAGGGUGACCGGCCACACUGGGACUGAGACACGGCCCAGACUCCUACGGGAGGCAGCAGUAGGGAAUUUUCGGCAAUGGGGGAAACCCUGACCGAGCAACGCCGCGUGAAGGAAGAAGUAAUUCGUUAUGUAAACUUCUGUCAUAGAGGAAGAACGGUGCGUGUAGGGAAUGACAUGCAAGUGACGGUACUCUAUAAGAAAGCCACGGCUAACUACGUGCCAGCAGCCGCGGUAAUACGUAGGUGGCGAGCGUUAUCCGGAAUCAUUGGGCGUAAAGAGGGAGCAGGCGGCACUAAGGGUCUGUGGUGAAAGAUCGAAGCUUAACUUCGGUAAGCCAUGGAAACCGUAGAGCUAGAGUGUGUGAGAGGAUCGUGGAAUUCCAUGUGUAGCGGUGAAAUGCGUAGAUAUAUGGAGGAACACCAGUGGCGAAGGCGACGAUCUGGCGCAUAACUGACGCUCAGUCCCGAAAGCGUGGGGAGCAAAUAGGAUUAGAUACCCUAGUAGUCCACGCCGUAAACC
Molecule: ribosomal RNA, 782 nt
Filed under: uncultured bacterium
Lineage: Bacteria
Description: bacterial SSU rRNA
Rfam family: Bacterial small subunit ribosomal RNA
Source: RNAcentral